CAGAGACUGCAAGCGUUAUUCGGAUUCACUGGGCGUAAAGGGUGCGCAGGCGGCCAUGUGUGUGAGGCGUGAAAGCCUGGAGCUUAACUCCAGAAUUGCACCUCAAACUACAUGGCUAGAGCAUUGGAGAGGGUAGCAGAAUUCAUGGUGUAGCAGUGAAAUGCGUAGAUAUCAUGAGGAAUACCAGAGGCGAAGGCGGCUACCUGGACAAUUGCUGACGCUCGGGCACGAAAGCGUGGGGAGCAAAAGGGAUUAGAUACCCCUGUAGUCCACGCCCUAAACGGUGCACACUAGGUCUUGGCGGAUUCGACCCCACCAGGGCCCAAGCUAACGCGUUAAGUGUGCCGCCUGAGGACUACGGUCGCAAGACUA
Molecule: ribosomal RNA, 372 nt
Filed under: uncultured organism
Description: bacterial SSU rRNA
Rfam family: Bacterial small subunit ribosomal RNA
Source: RNAcentral